GACGAACGCUGGCGGCGUGCCUAAUACAUGCAAGUCGAACGCAGUGGGGACGGGUGAGUAACACGUGGGUAACCUCCCAUCAGAGGGGAUAACACUUGGAAACAGGUGCUAAACCGAUACUGCAGGAGGGACCCGCGGUGCAGUAGCUAGUUGGUGAGGUAACGGCUCACCAAGGCCACGAUGCAUAGCCGAUCUGAGAUGGUGAUAGGCCAAACUGGGACUAAGACGCGGCCCGGACUCCUACGGUAGGCAGGAGUAGGUAUACUUCGGCAAUGGACGAAAGUCUGACCGAGCAAAGCCUCGUGAGUGAAGAAGGUUUUCGGAGCGUAAAACUCUGUUGUUAGAGAAGGGUUCUCUAACCAGAAAGGCACGGCUAACUACGUGCCAGCAGCCGCGGUAAUAC
Molecule: ribosomal RNA, 403 nt
Filed under: uncultured bacterium
Lineage: Bacteria
Description: partial 16S ribosomal RNA
Rfam family: Bacterial small subunit ribosomal RNA
Source: RNAcentral